Molecule: ribosomal RNA, 277 nt
Filed under: Clostridium botulinum
Lineage: Bacteria; Bacillati; Bacillota; Clostridia; Eubacteriales; Clostridiaceae
Description: partial 16S ribosomal RNA
Rfam family: Bacterial small subunit ribosomal RNA
Source: RNAcentral
ACACAUGCAAGUCGAGCGAUGAAACUUCCUUCGGGAAGUGGAUUAGCGGCGGACGGGUGAGUAACACGUGGGUAACCUGCCUCAAAGUGGGGGAUAGCCUUCCGAAAGGAAGAUUAAUACCGCAUAACAUAAGAGAAUCGCAUGAUUUUUUUAUCAAAGAUUUAUUGCUUUGAGAUGGACCCGCGGCGCAUUAGCUAGUUGGUAAGGUAACGGCUUACCAAGGCAACGAUGCGUAGCCGACCUGAGAGGGUGAUCGGCCACAUUGGAACUGAGACAC